Molecule: non-coding RNA, 944 nt
Filed under: Eleutherodactylus unicolor (dull robber frog)
Lineage: Eukaryota; Metazoa; Chordata; Amphibia; Anura; Eleutherodactylidae
Description: 12S ribosomal RNA
Rfam family: Bacterial small subunit ribosomal RNA (bases 96-944)
Source: RNAcentral
CACAAAGGUUUGGUCCUAACCUUAAAAUCAAUUUUUACUUGACCUACACAUGCAAGUUUCCGCACCCCUGUGAAAACGCCCCUAAGUCCCCCCCCGGAUUUAAGAUUCGGAGCAGGUAUCAGGCACAACUAUAUGCCCAAGACACCUAGCCAUGCCACACCCACAAGGGUUCUCAGCAGUGACCAAUAUUAAACAUAAGCAACAGCUUGAUUUAGUUAAGGUAAACAGGGCCGGCAAAUCUGGUGCCAGCCGCCGCGGCUACACCAGUGGCCCAAAUUGAUAUCCAUCGGCGUAAAGCGUGAUUAAAAUCCCUAUAAGACUAGAGCUAAACAUAGAUUGAAUUGUUAAACGUCUAUCUAAGAGAAACCCAAAUAACGAAAGUUGCUCUAUCUAACCAAUUUGAAUACACGAAAGCCAGGGCACAAACUGGGAUUAGAUACCCCACUAUGCCUCCCCAUAAACUUUAACUUACACCUUAAUCGCCCGGGAACUACGAGCAAAGCUUAAAACCCAAGGGACUUGACGGUGCCCCACAUCCCCCUAGAGGAGCCUGUCCUAUAAUCGAUAAUCCCCGUUUAACCUCACCACCCCUAGCCUAUCAGCCUGUAUACUUCCGUCGCCAGCCUACCACGUGAGCGAAGCUCAGUUAGCUAAAUGGCCCCCACAUCGUCAAUACGUCAGGUCAAAGUGCAGCAAAUGCCGUGGAAAGAGAUUGGCUACACUUUUUAAUAUAAAAGAAACGAAAAACAAAAUGAAACUUUGUCAAAAGGCGGAUUUAGCAGUAAAAAGAAACCAUAAAAAUCAUUUUAACAUAGCACUGGGACGCGUACACACCGCCCGUCACCCUCCUCAAAAAAUUACCUAAAACAGUAUUUAACUAACUUUUAUCCUAAAGAAGAGGCAAGUCGUAACAUGGUAAGUAUACCGGAAGGUGUGCUUGGAAA